CAGGAAUUGUUUUCAUUUAUCCCAUGACCCGCGGUCAGCACGGAUACUUUUGGUCACUUUUCCAUUAUAAUUUUUCCGGAGGAUGUGACCGAGACCAAGAGGAAAUAGGGUAUCAUCGAGAAGCAUCGUCACAAGGAAAUUUGACCGGAGAUAGAAUGAUCGGCCGGUUACGGUGAAUCCGAUUCUUGGCUCGGAAAUGAAUGGCGAGAAACGAAUUUCUAUUGUGCGAUUUACGACAAUGAAAAAGGUGAAAUCCUGAUAGUCUGGAAUUCAUUCCGGUCGAAACAGGUUGCAGCUGUUCGGAAGUGUUAUAAUGCUGCAAAUGAUGUAACAAAAGAUAAUCUGCACAGUGUUCACCCAUUCGGCAGUCAUAGUAAUGGAAAAGAUUACGGAGGGACCGGCCGUGAAGGAAGCAAUGGAAGGAACAUUCCAGCGAAGAAAACGGUGAUCAGCUGCAUCAUAACGGAAAAUUUCACUUGCCCUGGGAAAGGAAGGUUGCGCUUAAAAUCGGGUUCAUGUUUUGGAAGUCUUCGCUGUGGCUGCGAGGAUACUAUUUAUUUUCUUUUGAGAUUUAAAAGAGACAGAAUUGAUUUGAGCCAGGCAUUUGCGAUGAUUGGACCGGGCUGAUUUUGAUAUUUGAAUGAGAAAACGGCAAUGGUUAAUGAUGGUGACAGCAG
Molecule: long non-coding RNA, 677 nt
Organism: Uranotaenia lowii
Lineage: Eukaryota; Metazoa; Arthropoda; Insecta; Diptera; Culicidae
Exons: 3
Source: RefSeq, a predicted model, not a curated record